This 278-nucleotide ribosomal RNA is filed under the name uncultured prokaryote. Its description in RNAcentral is "partial 16S ribosomal RNA". It matches the Rfam family "Bacterial small subunit ribosomal RNA", at positions 524 to 801 of the family's 1533-position model. The record is from RNAcentral.
UACGUAGGGGCUAGCGUUAUCCGGAAUUACUGGGCGUAAAGGGCGCGUAGGCGGCUUUAUAAGUCUGGAGUGAAAGUCCUCUUUUCUAAGGGAGGAAUUGCUUUGGAAACUAUAGAGCUUGAGUGCAGGAGAGGUUAUCGGAAUUCCCGGUGUAGCGGUGAAAUGCGUAGAUAUCGGGAGGAACAUCGGUGGCGAAGGCGGGUAACUGGACUGCAACUGACGCUGAGGCGCGAAAGUGUGGGGAGCAAACAGGAUUAGAUACCCUGGUAGUCCCUGAG